RNAcentral lists this ribosomal RNA (263 nucleotides) under uncultured bacterium. Its description in RNAcentral is "partial 16S ribosomal RNA". It matches the Rfam family "Bacterial small subunit ribosomal RNA", at positions 90 to 354 of the family's 1533-position model. The record is from RNAcentral.
UCUUAGUGGCGGACGGGUGCGUAACGCGUAUGUAACCUACCUUUGACAGGGGGAUAACAUCGAGAAAUUGGUACUAAUACCCCAUAACAUCACCGGAGGCAUCUUCGGUGGUUGAAAACUCAGGUGGUCAGAGAUGGACAUGCGUUGUAUUAGCUAGUUGGUGAGGUAACGGCUCACCAAGGCGACGAUACAUAGGGGGACUGAGAGGUCAACCCCCCACAUUGGUACUGAGACACGGACCAAACUCCUACGGAAGGCAGCAG